Molecule: ribosomal RNA, 505 nt
Filed under: uncultured bacterium
Lineage: Bacteria
Description: bacterial SSU rRNA
Rfam family: Bacterial small subunit ribosomal RNA
Source: RNAcentral
GAUGAACGCUGGCGGCGUGCCUAAUACAUGCAAGUCGAACGCAUUGUGGUUGAAAUGAUAUGAAGAACUUGUUCAGAUUUGAUUUUCAACAUUGCAAUGAGUGGCGAACGGGUGAGUAACACGUGGGAAACCUACCUCUUAGCAGGGGAUAACAUUUGGAAACAAAUGCUAAUACCGUAUAAAUAAUUAAAACCGCAUGGUUUUAGUUUAAAAGAUGGUCUUGCUAUCACUAAGAGAUGGUCCCGCGGUGUAUUAGUUAGUUGGUGAGGUAAUGGCUCACCAAGACAAUGAUACAUAGCCGAGUUGAGAGACUGACCGGCCACAAUGGGACUGAGACACGGCCCAUACUCCUACGGGAGGCAGCAGUAGGGAAUCUUCCACAAUGGACGAAAGUCUGAUGGAGCAACGCCGCGUGUGUGAUGAGGGGUUUCGGCUCGUAAAACACUGUUGUAAGAGAAGAAUGACAUUGAGAGUAACUGUUCAAUGUGUGACGGUAUCUUACCAA